GUUUUCUAAAAACUAACCAAAAUGAAUACAAAACUUUAACAUUUUACAAUGAUACAUAAAGUUAUUACAAACAAAAUUUAUAAAGUUUUAAAUUUGUUUUGUAAUUUAGCUUCUUUGUAUCUAUGUAGUUUCACGGGGAAAUAACUCUUAACUAUAAACCUUUCGUAUCAACGGUUACUUGCAACGGUUGCUUGAAAGCAUAAUCGAGUGCACACACUAUUGUUUCCUACGAAUACAAGAAGAAACCACAUGAAAUUAGUCCCAAAUUACAGCUAAAAAUUCUCAAAACAGUUCUGCAUAUGAUUCCUAAAACAUGUGUUGAUAUAAAGUGUAUGCAUCAAUAAUUUUCAAAAGUUAAAUGACGGCUCCCACUUCGUACUACGGUUGGUACGGUCGCAAAUCUGGAAACCUCUAUUAACCG
This 421-nucleotide long non-coding RNA is filed under the name Mytilus galloprovincialis (Mediterranean mussel). Lineage: Eukaryota; Metazoa; Mollusca; Bivalvia; Mytilida; Mytilidae. The record is from RNAcentral.